This 567-nucleotide long non-coding RNA is filed under the name Oryza brachyantha (malo sina). Its description in RNAcentral is "long non-coding RNA (OBRA_LNC001215)". The record is from RNAcentral. Lineage: Eukaryota; Viridiplantae; Streptophyta; Magnoliopsida; Poales; Poaceae.
GCUGAAUUGUGUGUGCCUCCACAGCUAUAACCUGUAGGCUCUAGCAAUGGCGAGCCCGCCAAAAGGCUCUUGCACUCGUCACGCCAUUGCAAGCAUCCCAGCUGCUUGCCCCUCGGCUGGUCCUUGGCUGAUGACGAUGAUGAUGUUGUCCUCCAUGGUCGGGCUGCUCGUGAGCUGGAUGGAGAAGAACACAACGAUGACUCAGGUACGCCGCUGCGGCCACCUCGCGUCAUGCUGAUCUAGCCAUGGCUCUAUCCUCCCUGAGCUCACUUCUUCGUCCUACCAACCUCGAUCUUCCGUGUACCUUCGCCGACCACUGCAUUGAUCCUUGGAUAAUUCUCCCUAUGGUCCAAGGAGCAUCUCUUCUUGACCUUGCAAGACUUUGCCUUGUGAGUCACUCCUCUCCAUAUUGUCUGUGUCAUGCUGAUUCCUACCAGCCCUCUUCUCUCCCUCAGUCCCGUCUAUCCCUCUUGAGCUUGUAGUUCCAAACGAGUUGCUUGUUAUGUGUGAAGAAGGUGUAAUCUUGCUUGAUGUAGGUAAUGUGCUUGUAUGAGUUAAUUAAAAAAA